GGACGACGCUGGCGGCGUGGAUUAGGCAUGCAAGUCGGACGGUAGGGCUUUAUCGUAAGAUAGAGUUUGAGAGUGGCGAACGGGUGAGUAACACGUAGGAAUCUACCCUUAAGACGGGGACAACCCAGGGAAACUUGGGCUAAUACCGGAUGAGAGUGCGAGAGAUUGCAUUUAAAAGGAUGGCGAAAGUUGUCGCUUAGGGAUGAGCCUGCGGUCUAUUAGUUAGUUGGUGAGGUAAGAGCUCACCAAGGCGAUGAUAGAUAGGCGGCCUUAACGGGUGGUCGCCCACACUGGGAUUGAGAGACGGCCCAGACUCCUACGGGAGGCAGCAGUCGAGAAUAGUCUACAAUGGACGGAAGUCUGAUAGUGCGACGCCGCGUGAACGAAGAAUCCCUUCGGGGUGUAAAGUUCUUUUAUACGUGAGCAGUGCCCUUUAUAUGAAUAGUAUAGAGGGAGGGAUUUAAGCGUAUGAAUAAGCAACGGCUAACUCCGUG
Molecule: ribosomal RNA, 494 nt
Filed under: uncultured bacterium
Lineage: Bacteria
Description: bacterial SSU rRNA
Rfam family: Bacterial small subunit ribosomal RNA
Source: RNAcentral